UACAGAGGUCUCAAGCGUUGUUCGGAUUCAUUGGGCGUAAAGGGCGCGUAGGCUGCGGGGCAAGUCGGGUGUGAAAUCUCAGAGCUCAACUCUGAAACUGCACUCGAUACUGCUUUGCUUGAGGACUGGAGAGGAGAUUGGAAUUCACGGUGUAGCAGUGAAAUGCGUAGAUAUCAGGAGGAACACCGAUGGCGAAGGCAGGUCUCUGGGCAUUAACUGACGCUGAGGAGCGAAAGCGUGGGGAGCGAACAGG
RNAcentral lists this ribosomal RNA (253 nucleotides) under uncultured bacterium. RNAcentral describes it as "partial 16S ribosomal RNA". It matches the Rfam family "Bacterial small subunit ribosomal RNA", at positions 524 to 776 of the family's 1533-position model. The record is from RNAcentral.